CAAAACCUAAAUUCCCAAAAAUCCUAAAGCGGCGCCCCUGACUAUUGUUCUUCUUCUCCAGUCCGAUUCAAUCCCAACUCUCCUGAAAACUCAGGCGAGUUCACUCACGCGCACCCUUAUCUCACCACGUCAGCAAGAUUCUAACGGCCUCUGACAAAAUAAGAAGGUUCCUUCCGAAUUUUUCACGUGCCUUUUAACUCUUGAGCGAUUUGUUGGAUGGAUGGGAGCCGUGGAUGGAUGGAAUCAAUCUAUGCCCUCCAUCUGUCCCUAAAUCGUUCACAGAAGAUUUGAGAGGAUUUCUAGAUUUUUAGAAGAAGGUUCGAGAUUUUUGAGGGGUUAUAUAAGGUAAGGAUUUUCUUGUUUAGGGGGGGGGGGGCUGAAAAAACAGAGAAUUUUGAGGAAUUUUUCGGGCAGAUUUAAUUUGAUAGAAAAAUUAGGGUUCUAGGAAAUGUUUUCUUCUGCUCUGUUGUUCAUCUUCGUUUUUUAGUUUAAUUCCAGACAUAACAAAAAAAAACUACAAAUAUUGGCUUCUUUUAGUUUGAUAUUCGAUCUUUGUUUUUUUCAUCUUUAAAUUCGGAAAGUUCACUUUUAUUAUGGAGUUGGAUUGAGUUCGAGAGUCGAAGUUGUUCGAAUCGUCGAUUGCUUGCCGAUCGAGGUUUUGUUCGUGGUUGCUAGUUUCUAUUUCUCAGCUGUUGUCACUCCCAAUUUCAAGGCCGGAUUCGUUUGUAUUAGAUUCUAAACGAAAUUAAUCAAAGCUUCACGCAAUUAGGUUCAAUCUCUUUUUCUUUUCUUAUGUCUGUUUGGAUGUUGAUUGAAAAUACGAUAAGAGCCAUGGGAAUCCAUUUAUAGAAGUAAUUCUUUGAUUAAUUCCAUUAGAGGUUGAAUUUGGAGUUAGCAUUCAGUUUCAGUUCACGUCUGGAAAUGAUAUUUGACAUGUCGUUUGUUGUUUGAAUCCUACACUCACUGUUUUGAUUUGCUUGAGCAUGCUCAGUUAGCAAAAGUUAAUUCGAAUGGUUAUUUUCUAUGCCUCGAAUGCUUUAGCCAUUAACUCAAAAGUUAAUUCAUUGUUCUGCCCUGCCUUAUGACUGUCAAAUGAGUCUGAAUCAGUAAUGUAUAUUCUCAUGGUUCUUCACUUGGUUAUCUGAUUCUCUAGUACGAGUGAUUUCUGGUGCUAGAAUAUUUAGACCGUAGUUAAAUUGUUAGGGUCGUAUGCCUGCUCGUCGACGCCUAAAUCGUUCUGUUCUCUUCUUUUGAACGAGCAUAGCGGUUUGUGCUUGGAUUAUGUUGUUAUCAAAAGAUUAAUCACAUCACUUUAGGAAGGUUGAAAUGGCUGCUUCAAUCUCUUGGAGUUUCAUGAGUUUAGUCGUCUUCCUCAUGUUCUGAUUUGCUCGAUCCCUUAUAUGUUCGACUGAGAAACGUUAGACUUCAUGACCAUUAGUUGAAAGCUUGAAUUGUUGGUGUACUUGUGUGUGAUUUUCCAGAAACAAUCUUUGCUUGCCUCUAUGCAUGUUAAUUGGCAACACUUAACUUCAUGUAAAAUUAAAGCUUCCAAUCCAUGUCUCUAAGGUUUGCAUUCCUGGUGCAUUUGUUGAACCCCACUGAUUCUAAGUUGUAUUUGUUUAAAUCUUAGUCAAUGGGUUUGUUGUCAUCUUUGGAUUAAAUUUUCAUGUUUGUCCCUUUUCUUUGCUAUUAUAGUUUGGUGAUGUUUGAUUUACAGUACCCAUAUGAGCUUGCUAAUUGUUCUAGUUUUCUGUUAUCUUCGUCAUUUUCUCGUAUAUUGAACCCCAUAAAUUGUUCUCACGGGCCUUAUUCGUUAAAGUCGAUACAUGCUGCUUCUAGGAUACAUGAGUGAAGUUGUAUAUGAAAUUCAGUGAAGUGUGAAAGUAGUUAAUUGUUGGAUUAUAUUGCUAAAGAAACUUGUUGAGAAUUGUUUAUACUGUUGGUGUAAGAAUAGUUACAUUCAAGGGGCCAUAUCAUCUUUUUUUUUCUUUGAUUUUCUGGAAUACAGCCAAAUCCACUAGGAAUAAAUACCUUGCCUCCUUUUACUGAUUGUUUGUCGCGGAAAUAUGUAACUUUACAAUUCAUAUAUUUAUGUGGCUUUUCUUAUGGUUCAUCACUAGAAAUUAGUAGAAGCACUUAGCAUUCCAUUAUCAACAUAGCUUCACUCCCCGUACUAUUGGUAGUUUGCACUAUUUUAUUGGUUAGCGUGAUUGUGUAUACGUUCGCGUAACAUGAUUACAAUUCUAAAAAUCAAUUCGGAGUAUGCAUUCGCGCAACUUCGGUUAAACUCUCUUAAUAUUAAAAUUGUUUUAAUAGGCCACUAAUUAAUUUUAGUUUAUAUAGUUUUGAGGUGUGCUAUCUACAGUUUAAUUAUUCAUGGCCCUCAUAUUGAUAACCUAGAUAUAAAAAUAACAUAUGAUCAUAAUUUGCUUUAGGCACGUUUAAUAUAUUAUCGUGGUCGUGGACACGUUAGCGUGACAUGAUUACGAUUUUAAAAACAAAAUCGGAGUAUGCGUUCGCGCAACUUUGACGAAACUUUUCUUAAUAAUAAUAAAGCGUUAUUAAUUGUGGACACGAUCGCGUGACAUAAUUUUUGACGCGCCGAACAAAUGGGUACAUGUGCGCGUGACCCGUUUCAAGAUAAUUUCUUAAUUAAAAGGCUGUAAAAGGUAAAAGCACCUAGGUUCUUAAAUAAGUAACUAGACAAUUUAAUAAGCCAAGUAUGAUCAAAGCUUCCGUGCUAGAACCACGGAACUCGGGAAUGCCUAACACCUUCUCCCGGGUUAACAGAAUUCUUUACACGGAUUUCUGUGUUCGCAGACCGUAAAUAAGAGUCAACUUCCUCGAUUCGGGAUUUUAAACCGGUGACUUGGGACACCAUAAUUAUCUCAAGUGGCGACUCUAAUUUUUAAAUAAAUAAUCCUGUUUCGGUUAUUACCACUUUCUACCCCGGAAGGGGGUAGAAAAAGGAGGUGUGACAACUAUAAUGCAAAAAAAGUUGGACAGUUUCAGUUAUAGAAGAGCUACGGAUGUUAAUUGCCAAUUUACCAUCGACAUCUUUUGUGAGUCUUCAUUCUUAAUUUUAUGUUGUGCUUUGGUACCUUUGAUAGCUUUAAGCAACAACACACUCUUUCUUCUUUCUAAUAGCAAAUUGUCAAAAGUAAAUAUCUUCUUGCUGUGUUGACAGAGGUCCAUUGAUAUAAUUAAAGAAAUCCCAGUUCUCAGGGUGUUGAUUUUAGAAAAUGCACAAAGCUUCUGUACGAUUACCAAUUACUUUCAUUUUGAGAAUGAUUUUCAUCAAAUCCUUUCCUUCUUAACAAUAACAAACUAUAUCUAUUCUGUCAAGUAUGUUUUACUUCUUGUUCGAAUAUGAAAACGAAACCUGAACUUGUAUAUAGAAUUGUUGCAAAUGUGCAGUUUAUUUGAUGUUAUAGAGUAAAAUGUGCUUGUUGGCACUGAAAUUAAGGUGAAAAAUCUCCGCAUACCUCCCUCAUUUGUUGUGGAAUUUACAGAAGUUUUUGGUUUAUGAAUUUGGAGAAUAUGAUUGAACUUACCACAUAGCAGGAAACAUAUGUUUAUCACUAUUCCAGGAAUUGAACCUUGCAUGGGAAUGUAGUUGAGACUUGAGAUUACAAGUUUCAAUUUGAGGUUUCAAAAGUUAAUGUAAGAAGUAAGAAAGAUCCUAUUGUGUCCCUCAACUAUUGACUUUCGCUUAACUUUGCCGUCUAUUAGAAGUUGCAAACAGAAAAAAUCCUCAUUGGGACCUCCUCGCUCAGUUGGUGCAACCCUUCCCUCUCCUCGCUUUCUCUAUGCCCCUACAAAGAGACAAUUCCAUCUUUGUCCUCCAACCCCUCCUCACUCCCUACCUGCUUGGAAAAUAUGAUAUGUAUGGGUAAAGGUGAAGUACCUUGCGCUUUUCUAUCUUGCUUCUUGUUCAGUUAUUUCUCUAAUGUUUCCUUUUUAUUAUAACCACCGGAAAUUUGCAAUAUAAAAUGAUAAUUGAUUUCUUCAUUUUUCCUUGCUCCACAGGACAAAGGGUACUUUGUUUUGAAUGAUGUUCUUAGGUAUGUAGAAGGAAAUGAUACUGUUAACAGUUCAGAAAUUGUCAAUGGAGUCGAGGAUGUACCACCCGUGCAUAUGACGUCCGAUCCAGGUUGGAUUUUUGUCAAAUUGUACAACUUUUCUGCCCUUUCCUUUUCAAAUUGCUUACCUGUUUUUUUUUUUUUUUAGUAGAACCAGCUGAUGUGCUUGAUCCUCCAAAUCACGGACAGCCGAGCUCUCAUGCAGCAGAAGAAAUUCAAAUUGUUGAGGAAGUAGUUCAUGGUUCUUUGGAAGGUAAGAGACUAGUUGGUGAUGAAAGAGAGAUUGUGGUGGAGGCUGAAUCUCAUAUUAUUGAGAGCCAUAAUUAUGAGAAUGCAGAACCAGGUUGCCCAAGAAGAUGCUCCUAAGAAAUCUUACGUGUGAGCACCUAAUUUUUGACAAUAUUUAAUUUUUUUUUGUCACUUCUUUUAUAUAAAUAUUUUAGGAGGUUUUAACGUACAAAUUUUUAGCUUUGUUAUACUUUUUAUUAUAGGUUAAAAAUACAAAAUUUUAAAAGGUGAAUUAUUACUAUUAACAUUAUUUUAUAUUUAUUCUUAUUUUUAAAUAAUAAUAAAAAAUCCGAAAAAUAUUAAUUUUUCUUUAAAAUUUUCGGGAGAGAUUUAAAAAAAUAAGAAAAAAGGAAGUAUGGAAUUAAAAAAAAAGAAGAAGUAAAAGUAGGUGUAAUUCUCUUUUAAAAAAGUAAAAGAAAGUGAAAAAUUAAAAAAAUAAAAGUAAAGUUUUGUGAAAAAUUUUAAAAAUAAAAAGUAAAAGAAAGUUGGAAUUAAAAAAUAAUAUAAAGGUAGCUGAAAAUUUAAAAAAUUAAAAUUAAAAUAAAGUAGAAUUUUUUAAAGAAAAGUAAAAGAAAGUGGAUUGUUUUUUUAAGAAAAGNNNNNNNNNNNNNNNNNNNNNNNNNNNNNNNNNNNNNNNNNNNNNNNNNNNNNNNNNNNNNNNNNNNNNNNNNNNNNNNNNNNNNNNNNNNNNNNNNNNNNNNNNNNNNNNNNNNNNNNNNNNNNNNNNNNNNNNNNNNNNNNNNNNNNNNNNNNNNNNNNNNNNNNNNNNNNNNNNNNNNNNNNNNNNNNNNNNNNNNNNNNNNNNNNNNNNNNNNNNNNNNNNNNNNNNNNNNNNNNNNNNNNNNNNNNNNNNNNNNNNNNNNNNNNNNNNNNNNNNNNNNNNNNNNNNNNNNNNNNNNNNNNNNNNNNNNNNNNNNNNNNNNNNNNNNNNNNNNNNNNNNNNNNNNNNNNNNNNNNNNNNNNNNNNNNNNNNNNNNNNNNNNNNNNNNNNNNNNNNNNNNNNNNNNNNNNNNNNNNNNNNNNNNNNNGCUCGUUGCCUCUGAUUGUGGUUCAUUUGCACAUUAAAUUUGAUGGUUGUUUGCUCCAUAUGUAUUGAAUAAGAUCUUCAUCUAUAAAAGGUUCAUUCUUUUCUUAACCAAUGUUUCCAUUAUUUUUCUUUCACCGUAUUUCCUUUUGAUUUGUAUAUUAUAUUUUGGUUAUCUACCAACUUGAAAGAUAUGAACAAAAAAAAUGAAGGAAGAACAUCAAGAAAUAGAAUUCGUGAAAGACAGAAUGAAUUUCUUCAAUGAGAUUGUAGUUUAUAGGGAAAGAUAGGAAAAUGUAUUCAAAAUGGAGAGAGAACGAUGUAAUAGCUUGGAUCCAAAUUAAAGGAUGUUAAGUCAAUAGCAAAUUUGAUACCGACAUGGGUGAUUAGGUCCAUAAUAACUCAAAUCAUAUAUUUCUUCAAUAAUAAUUCUAUAUUCAUAAAUCAUGACCUUGCAAUAAUCUCAAAGUAGUUUUAGGAAGAAACAUAAUCAUGAAUAUUUGUAGUUUGCUUUAAAUUGAAUACAAUCCUUUUAGAAUAAUCGAGGCGCACCAUACCAAAUAAAAUCUCAAAACUCAUGGCCCUCAUUUAAUUAAUUUUAAUCCUUAGAAAUCGAGGCAUGCCAUUUAGUUGAAUUUUCCAUGGCCUCGCAAACUUGAAAGUGCGUAGUUGCUUUAGACGCGCUAUUUUUUUUAUAAAAAAAAUUCCUAAACUCGGGUGUGCAUUUUAUGUGACCCAAAUCCAAAUCUCAACAACGUUAGAUAAAAUGUGUCGUGGACCGCAGGUGCAUUUCAUGUGACGUGGUUCAAUACGUGUUUUAUAUGACGUUGAAUUUUUCCAAAAAAAAUUUAAUUAAAAGCGGCUAAUAAGUUAAAAAUAUACCAUAGGUUGAAACAUGUUUUAAAAAUCAGAUAAUAGGCCAAUUGUAAUAGUUUAAGCGACCGUGCUAGAACCACGAAAUUCGGGAAUGCCUAACACCUUCUCCCGGGUUAACAGAAUUCCCUACUCAGAAUUUCUGGUUCGCAGACUUCAAAAGGAAAGUCUAAAUUUCCUCGAUUUGGGAUUUAAAAUAAAUUGGUGACUUGGGACACCAAAUAAAUUAUCCCAAAUGGCGGCUCUGAAUUGAAUAAUUAAUCUAAUUUCGAAUAAUGUCACUUAAUUUGGAAAAACUCCCUUAUAUACCUUCGGGUGUGUAAAAAGAAGGUGUGACAUGCAUCGAUUGUAAGUUCUCAAACAAAGAAAUGCCCCGUCAAAAUCUAUGCCCGUCAAAAUCUAUGUACCCGCUAAUUCAAGAUUGGUUCCUUCAAAGGGUGCAAAGCAGCCUGUUAAUUCAGUUGCACAAGCUCCUGCUCCUCAAUCAUCAAUUCCGACUGCCUCCGGGGGCAAUGUACCUGAAUCUAAAGUUUCCCAGGCCGGAGGUAUCAUAUCAAUUAAAAUUCUGCACUAGCAUGAACUAUAUCACUAUUCUUAUUUUCAUUUGUGAACCAGCCUUUGCUGGGGCUGCUAAAUUGGGAUAGGAUUUUCAUAUUUGAUUUUAGAAUGUGAAGGGAGACUGAAAUAGACGGAUGUUUGAGGUUUUCUUCAUAUUAUGGGCUAUUGCAUCUACUUGCAUUAUCAUAUAUGGCUGUUUAUCCAUUGGCUUCGUUUCUUAUUGUUUACAGUCUUAUUAAUAGUGUUGUUCCAUCUAAUUUUUUUACUUCUGAUUCUUGCAGCUGAGGGGCACUCCAUUUAUGUCCGCAAUUUGCCUCUGAAUGUUACUAUUGCUCAACUUGAGGUUGAAUUUAAGAGAUUUGGACCCAUUAAGCAAGGAGUUGUACAAGUUAGAAGUAAUAGGGUUGGUUCAGAAAGCAUAUUGUACACAUCGCCGUCCUCUUUGUUUACUUAGUUUUAUAGAUAUUUAAUACAGUAUCUGUGGAUUUUCCUUUCUACAGCAACAAGGAUUCUGCUUUGGGUUUGUUGAAUUUGAAGAUUUGAGCUCCAUGAACAGAGCGAUACAGGUUUGUUCCCUCAAGUCUUUUUAAAAUGGUCCAUCUUCGUGUGAAGUUAAAAUCUGUCCAGCAUCCAGAUGUUGUGUUAUGAUUCGUUGCCUUGUUAGCUGUUGAAAGAUGCAUUAUGGAAAACAACUUUAUAAGAGAUUAAAGGGACCUAUAAUCUGCAACCCUGAAGCUGUUUGAGAUGACUUACGAACUACAAACACACACAUACAUAUUUUUAAGCUCAUUAAAGUCUCAGUUAAAAUCAACCGAAGUUUUGUCUGAUGGAUUUUAUAGUACAUAGACUAGAUCUAUAAUGUGGGGAUAUUCCUUCUUUUUUAUUUUCCUCCCUUUUUCUUUCGAAGUUAUCAUGAUGCUUCAUGUUACUAGGUCUUUUUCACCUCUUUUUUUGUUUCUUGUACUUCAAACAUGCUUUAUUAUGCUUCAUAGGACUAGGUUUUUUUCAUAUUUUUUUGUUUGUUGGACUUCAAAAAAUGCUUUAUUAUGGCUACUAUUACAUUGUUUGGUUCCAUGAUUUAACUAUACCAAAUCUUUUAUUCAGGCAUCACCUGUUACCAUUGGAGGCCAUCAAGCUGAUGUUGAGAUAAAGAGAACCACAACUAGAGGUCAGAUAAAAGACUCUAUUAUCCUUAAAAGCAGACAGAUAUCGACUUCAACAUCAUGGAGUAGGGUUUGAAAUCCUGAAAAUUCCCGUAUUUAUAGAUUUCUGUCAGUUUCGACAUGCGGCCACCACAUACGGUCCGUAUGUUGGACAUACGGUCGUAUAUUGGUCGAAUGUCAACUCUCAAGCCUAUGAUGGUGCAUAUGUGGUUAAUAUACGGCCGAUAUACGGUUAAUAUAUGGCUUGUAUAAUAAAUAUACUGCCCGUAUGUUGAAUGUAUAGCCUCCGCAUGUCAAAUUCAGAGACUUGAAUUUUUCAAACACUUUUGGUCUCAGCAGACGUACAAAUUAAGUCAUUAAAUGGUUCUUUGUUUAUAUCGUCAAACUCUGAUUUGUUGUUUGAACCACAACUUCAUCACAAAAAUGAGACAUCUAGUUUUUCAAUGUCCUAUUGCAGUUGGUAGUGGGAGAGGCCGUUUCCCUUCUGGUAGAGGGGGAUACCGAAAUGACAAUUUCAGGGGCCGUGGAAACUUUAGUGGAGGUAGAGGCUAUGGUAGAAAUGACUUUGUUGGAGAACGUGAAUUUCCAGGUCGUGGAAGGAGUCAGGGAGGACGAAGUGGUGAAGGUUACCAACAAGGAAGAGGGAGAGGUGGUCGGAGAGGUGGCCUAAAUCACAAUCCUGCUUCAGCAUAGUUUGGGUGGAGAAAUUUUGGUGGCAAAAUUUGACCUAUUUUUUUGUUAGCCAGUUUACUUGUGAGUCGAGAAUAUUUUUCUAACAGAUUUUUUGUGUAGGUGACGUUAUGUUUCACAGGGUAGAAAAUUGUAACUUGCACAACUUUAGUCCUUAAUGUUAUUUCCAACUAACUAUAUUGUUUAACCAAAAAAUAGAAUUUCAGUCAAACCUAAAAUUUAGAAGAACACGAGUUACUGAUAAUCAAAAAAAUAUGCAAAGGAAAGUAAUUUGAAGUAAUUAGAGUGUAAUCAAGAGAAAAAACAAGUAAAUCAAAGUAUAUUCCGAUGAUAUCUCUUGUCCCUGCAAUUGAUCAGAUACCUCCCUUUUAUAGGUAUCCUGAAGAUUUGCGUUUUCCCCAAAUCAUAAUGAGGCUAUUAUGAAUAAUUAAAGACAUCGAAUGCUACGUUACAUAAUCAUUAUAAUCAAUACAAAUUCUCUAACGUAUCCAGUAUUUAAUGUCUGCCAAAUUCUGUAUCUGCGCUCUUUACUAUGGUCAGAUCCAUUCCCUUUGAUUCUUGAAUAUAAAUGACUUAAACACGUACGGCCACUCGUGCCUCUUCCUUUGUCCUUGCUCGUUUCUAUUGCUGCUCGUGCCUCUUGAUUAAUUGUAAUUCUUUGACUAUUUGACCAGUCCACGUGUCUUGACACGUCAUCUUUAUAUAAAUGUAAUUUUUACCAAUACAGAUAGUUCCCCCACUUUCCAUGUAUUCAUCGUUGAAUAUUUGGGAAGUGGAUUUCAUUAAAACGAGAAUUUUUGUCACCAUUAAUGCUAUGACAAAAUUGACGCUUCAAUUGUCACUUCCAUUUAAUACUCCGUACACGUAUCAAUUUUUCAUUGGUUCUACAGUUUUUGCAGCCUCUUUCAAGGUUUUUACGGUUCCACUAUUUACGAAGUGCUAGUUAUCAUAAUUGUGAUCCUUCCUUCACUGCAAUUUUACCUUUGGCGGUCGAUUAUCAAUAUAAGUAUAACUUCUUCCCUUGUCUUUUACCUUAUAAAGUUUUACUGAACACUUAAUUUCUCCAUUCUAUGUUUACUUCUUCUUUACAUCAUUCCUCUUCGCUAUGUCUUCACCAAACCCUCACUCUCGAGAAGUCUCCAUUGUUGAUUCUUUCCCCAAUGCCCCUGUUAGGCAUAGAAUGGGAGGUAGGCUUCGUAGCUUAGGAUCUACUCGAGGUGGUUCGUCUAUGCCUUCUUCUAGUUCUGGUCCCUCUUCUAGAAUCAGAUGUUCCCUUUCUCACAAAUCUUCUUCUAGGAGUAAAGAACCUUCUGAACCAUUACGCGAACCUUUAGUAGAAGAGAUAGUCCCUACAGAAAUAUCUUUUUACAACGAUAGGGAAUCUCUUAGAAACCAGACUGCCGCUUUAGAUCGUGUCGAUACUUACCCCCACUCAAAUUACAAAAGUUUUGACUCCUGUGGUUCGUAAGGACUGUCAUUGGAGUAACGAUUUUUCCAUUAAUAUCCCUAAUCCGAAUCAGAGGAUAACUUCUUAUUUAACUGGGUUUUCUUUUGUUUACAUAUACCCUUUUACUUUAGGGUUCAAACCAACGAUUGACCCAAUCAUUCUCGAAUUUUGCCGUUUCUUCAAUGUCUGUUUGGGCCAAAUUGGUCUGAUUGUAUGGAGGGUUGUUGCCUGUCUAAGGCAUUUAGCCACUAAAGCCGAAGUUCCUUUUACUUUUCCCCACUUGAUUCAUCUUUACUCACCUAGGCUUUUUCGCAAUGGUGUUUUUACACUAGUAGCCAGGAGUAAGAGGGUUUUGGUGAGUCCCGAAGAUGACAAAGACCACGGCUGGUAUGCCCGAUUUAUUGCUGCCCCCACUGUUGGUUUAGUCAGUGAGGAUAAUGUUCCCUUCCCUGAGAAGUGAAAUUUUGCACGUAAGUCUUUUAACCUUCUCGUACCUUUUUCCUUCAAGUUUGUCAACUUCUAUAAUUUUGCUUUUGUUGUUUUUUUUAGCUACCAUGGGAGUUGUGGGGGAUGUUCCCAACUUCCGUGGUUGGGUAGAUAAAUUACUGAAGAUCACACCGAUGGACGGUAGGUCUUGGAAAGCACUUUCUAACCGUUUUGGUUUGAAGGUAAAGACUCAUGGUAAAAAUUUAUAUUUUGUGCCUUUCGUGUCUAUAUUCUCUUUUAUUGCUCUAAUUUCUAUCCUUUUUUUCGUUAGAAUUUGUUAUUCGAGGAGUUACUGCUGAAGCAGUUGCGGCUUCUCAUGUUUCCUCAGGAACCCGUACUCCUUCAGGAACUCGUAUCUCUCUAGAAAGAGCCCGGGAAAUAGUUUUGGGUUCUUCUUCUACAAAAAUGAAAGUUGCAGAAGAGGAAGACUCUGAAGAAGAGGGAGAUGAGGGCUCCCUGGUGACAAGGCCUCGAGUUAGGAGACGCAUCGUAUCUGAUGACGAAGCUGAAGUGUCGGUUUCUCUUACCGAACCUGUUGAAACUCCAAUAAUAAUUCUUGACGAUGACGUCACUCCCCAUGAUACUCGUGAGUCUAUUGACCAACUUUUCGUCAGCGGAUUUGGCCGUGAAGAUAUUGGACCUGUUUUAGACGAAGUACCAUUAUCUUCUUUUCCAACUCCCAUGCUUGAGGUUCCUUCCUUACCUGCCCCAGCUAUUUCCGUUCCUUCUUCUACUGCUUUCACCUCUUCUCCGGCUCCUCCUUUGACUAUUCCCCCUCCUAUCGUUCAUCAUACAGAAGCGGGCUCUUCAAGUAGAAGUGCCGCUAUGAUGCGGGUAACUAUUGAAGUUCCUGCCGAGAGCAGCCUUUUGAGAAAGUCAGGUCAGGCAGAUGCAUAGUUGGAGCCUUUAAUCGGCCCAAUUGAAAAAGCCAAGUUGGAGAGUCAUAGUUCCCUAACUUUAAUGAAUGAUAUCGUAUAUGCUGCUUUGAAGGUACUUUCCUUCUCUUCCUUUUUUGCUUUAUAAUUCGACUAUCUUUGAGGAUUCUUACUUCCUUUUCCCCUUUUCAGGCCAACCUUAUUGGCACAGAAAUAAUGAAAAGAAUCGCCCCCUUGGACAAGAUAGCACGUGAUUCUCAUUCGGAAGCAAUCAAUUGGAAGGAGCAAUUUGAGAGUGCGCAGAUUGAUAUAGAAGACUUACAAGAGAGCAAGAGUACCUUAGAGCAGCGGGUGCAGGCUUUAACUUCAGAAUUGGCGGUUGCAAAAGCUUUUUUAAGCCAAGCAGAAAAAGAUAAAGAACGUCUCGAGUCCUCCUUCUCAGAGCAACUAUCUAAAACUAGUGAAGAAAUCAGAGAGUUAAAAGCUUUUUUGGACCGAAAGGAAGUUUACGCUGGGGAGUUUGUGCAAAACUUGACUCAAGCACAAGAGGAUCUUAGAAUCUCUGCUGAUAAAGUGCGUGUUUUAGAAUGCUCCCAUGCCUCUCUUCAAGUUUCCCACAACUCCGCCUUGGCUGAAAAUGAAGAGCUAAAGAAUGAGAUCGCUACUUGGGAAAAGGAUUAUGAGAUCCUUGAAGAAAAAUUUGUUGUCGAGACAAGUUGGGCAUUUUUGAAUUCUCGUCGUGAUACCCUACUUGAAGCUAGUCAAGAAAACUUCAACUUGGAGUUGGAGUUAGCUAAGAUCAACGAAACCAUUAAAAAAGCUCAACAAACUCAGGACUUCCCUUCUCCCGUGGUUGAAGCUCCCGUGAAUGUUGAAGCUGAUAUGGGUAUCCCAAUUGUUUCAAGCCCAAUCAAAUCUGUUGCUACAAGCCAAAUUGAAGCCGCGUCUGUUGAUGUAGCUGCCCAAAUUGAACCCACUGCUGUUGAUGCUCCUGCUUCGGUUCCUCAAACUUCUCACUGACCGGUUUUGAACAUUCUAGUGAUUUUGCUUUUGUUUUGGAAAACUAUAAUCAGACCCUUAACUUUAUUUGAGGGUUGAUUUUGAAGUCGUAAGUCCCCAAGUCUUUUAUGGGGCAAUCUAUAUAGACAAUCUCGUAGUUUUAUGACUAGGUUUGUCCUUAGUCUUAGGUUUUUACAUAUUAAUAAGUUCUUCAUGUUAUUAUUAUAAACUUCUGUUUCCUUUAUUCUUGCCUUAAUUUUUAAGGACUUACAGAAUAAUUUGCAUUUUUAUUCUUCGAAAAUGCUUCUGUUAUCCUCAUGACUAAUUAAUUUGAACAUGAGUUUUAUAAAAGAGGGCCCUUUUAUAUUUCGACACUUAAUGAAGUAGACGUCUCAACUUCAUAAUGGUGUUAACAUACGAUAAAAGAAAUAGGAACACACAUGUUUCUUUGAAAUAACUUUGAAAAGUUGUUAUUGGAACUUAUAAUUCUUUACAUGUAUUUGAAGUACAUCUAUAACUUUCUCGUAAUUAUUUUUCUUGUAACAGAUUUUUACAAAAGAAGAGUAAUAAGUACGGGUUUUUUCCUUAUAACCCAUUUUAGUAUAUGGCCUUUACCCUAAUACCCUAACUAUAAUGAAUUUUUUGUUUCUCUUUAGCCUCAGCUCGUGGCUCCAUCUCGUAACUUUUACUCUGCACUUGUCUCUUUUAGGCUUGAUUUUCCCUCAAUCUUCUUUGCCUUCUUUAUACACAUGUCUAUGUAUAUUAGGUAGUCCCCUAAGUGUUUGAGUGUUUAAGUAUGAAGCCUCGAGUACUUGAUAGUUCCUCUCAUUUGGUCCUUUUCCUGAAAAGGAAAAACACACGGGACUCGGAGGGGCGAUUAUAGAUGAAGACUGCAUACCCCGUAUUUAUUUCUAUCAUAAUAGUUGUAACCGUAGGCCAGGAAUUUUAGAUUACUCCGUGUGCCUUACAGGUCGUGACUCAUCAUUUAGUAUGAGAUAGCUUUUUGCCUAUCAUCUAAAAUCGUUAGUAAAAUUUUAACAAUUCAAAAAUGAAAUAUAAAAUGGUUAUACCUGACCGUGGGUUUCCCUUAGAAAUAGUAUCUCUUCAAAUGAACAGAAUUCCAAUGUGAAGGUAGUACUUUGCCAUCCAUUGUUUCUAGUUCAUAUGCUCCUUUUCCUGCAACAUCAUGAACUCUGUAGGGUCCUUCCCAUGUUGGACUUAAUUUUCCUGCGUUAGCUGCUUUUGUAGAUUGAAAAACUUUUUUAAGCACGAAGUCCCUAAUUUUAAAGAACCUGAGGCGUGCUUUUCUGUUGUAGUAUCGUUCUAUGACCUGUUUUUGUGUUGCCAUUCUUAUUAGUGCAACUUCUCUCCUUGCUAAUUUUAAAGAACCCGAGGCGUGCUUUUCUGUUUUAGUAUCGUUCUAUGACCUGUUUUUGUGUUGCCAUUCUUAUUAGUGCAACUUCUUUCCUUGCUUCGAGUAAAUCUAGGUUGACCCGCAUCUCCUCAUCAUUAGAUUCUUGUGUCGCCUACGUGAAUCGGGUACUCGGUUCUCCUAUCUCGACUGGAAUCAAAGCUUCAGUUCCAUAAACCAAUGAAAACGGUGUUUCUCCCGUACUAGUUUUCGCCAUUGUACGAUAUGCCCAUAAAACACUGUGAGCACGUGAUUUUUGCUUCACGAAAACUACUCCAAAAGAAAUCGAAAAAUAAAACAAAUUGCCUUUGGGGUACAAUUUUGAGAAUUUUGCGUGACAUUUUGGAUAAUUAUUUUUGUCUGUGAAUGUUUACUUUGUUUUAAUUAAUUACAAAAUAUCAAAAUACCUGUUGCGUACAUAUUUAGGAUUUAAUUAUGCAUUUUUGAAUUAAUUAAACCAUGUCCUAUUUUAAUGAAAUGAAAAUCACAAAAAUAUGAAUUUUUGGUAGCUUUGUCAUUUUUAUUGUUUAAUUGUGUGAUUUUAUUUUAAUCAAUAUUUGAUCUUGUGUGUUAAUUAUUGUUAAGGGUUAAUUAAUAUCUUUUUAAAAUAAUCUUGGUUUUACAAUUUAAUUUAGGAAUUUUGGUUUUUAGGAAUUAAAAGAAAAUGAAAGGAAAAAAGAAAAGAGUGAAAAUUGGGNAANNCNNNNNNNNNNNNNAUUUCGGCACCUCAGAUCUAAGCCGUUGAUUUUUUCCAUUAGACGGCUCAGUUCAACCCAACAUUAUUUGAAACGAUGCCGUUUUAGGCAAGUUGAUCCGAGCCGUCCGUUCCCAAUGAUCUAACGGUCCCAGCCUUCCCCCAUAACCCGGUCCAUUUCAACCCGGGUCGACCCAGUCUCGAUGCAUGACCAAACGUCACUGUUUCCUUUAAGUGAAUUGAUCCAGGCCGUUGAUCGUGCUUGAACCAACGACCAAGAUUAAACCACCCCUCCCUAUAUAACCUUAAUCUCUACCCAACCCCCCCAAACCAUACCCCCUUGUUCAUCGUCUCUCUCAGAGACGGAACCUCACCAUAGCCCAAACCCUAGCCACCCUCUCACACCUCCGCCUAAAACCCGGCGGCAACAACGCCGCCGGUCACCAAAUUAACACCCCUAAGCCAUCUGACCACCCUCAUUACGGAUCCGCUAACCGUUUGCCACGAAUCAACCUCUAGCUUCUCGAAUCUUCAAUCGAAGAUUCAAGCAGAACCUAAACCUACCUAAACAGUCCGAAACUCACACCACAACACACUCUGACCACCCUCGUUACAGAUCUGUUAACCGUUUGCCUCGAAUCAACCUCCAGCUUCUUGAAUCUUCAAUCGAAGAUUCAAGUAGAACCUAAACCUACCCCAACCAGUCCCAAACUCACACCACGGCACCCCCUGACCUCCCUCGUGCCCAAAAUACCUUUGGCCUGGUUCGAAUCUUGCUAGAACUAUUCGAACCCCAAAUGGAACAAAGACCCCUAUAAAGACCAAACCUGGGCUUUGUCCGAAAUUAGAGGAAUUUGGGCGUCUAAUCGACCUUAGUCGAAGUGUUUUCCGUUGAGAACACUCUAUUAAGGUCCGUUCGACCUCAAAAAGUUUGAGUCAAGAGUUCGACCUGGGUUCGUCUAGUUUUGUGUUGUUAAGGUAUUUUUCUUCUUUCUCUCUUGUUCUAUUUUUUGUUACGGUUAAUUGUGUUUAGUUUUAGUUAUAAUCCAGUUUUGUUCAUUGCUUCUUCUUCUUCUCAAAUCAGGCCUUCUUAUUUGGUCGAGUCUGCUUCUAUUCAUGGUCGAAUAUAUGCUAUUAGCCAUGUAAUCUGUUAGUUCGUAAGUUCCCUGUUUUUGUCAAUACCACUCGAAUCACUUGUUGGUCUGCUUAUUCUAAUUGUUUGUUGUUAACUGCUAAAUGUUGUAAUUUGUGUAAUCGAUUGAAUAAGUGUCGUCGAUUAGUCUGUUAUGCUUGAAUGUUAGAUUAGCAUGAUAAUAGUUUAAUUUUUGGUUCAUUCCAGUAGGUUUACCCUCCUAUUUCUUUUCUGUUCUAAUUUUGUGUUGAAAUAAGCCUGUUGGUAUCAUUUGUUUCAAAUUGUUCCAAUUUCCCUUUCUCAUUGUUAUUCACUAUGCUUUUCAUAUGAGUUCAGUUUGUUUCGUUUCGUUCAGUAUUCAUUUGUUCUAGGUUAGAAUUGGUUUCAUUCUGAUGAUAUUUGAUCUAAACUAAGUUUCUAGCUUGAUUCGUUAACUGAUUCUGAUAAAGUUUGAAUUGGUUAUAUCUGAUAUGUUUAUUGGUUUAGAGUCAGUUCAUUUGUUUUCAGUCAUUAAUUAAGGAUUAGUUUAGGUUAAUCAGUGAUUAGGUUUCUUAUUUAAGAAUUGGAUAUAGCUGAUGUGGUCGUAGGGGUUUGAGGCAGAAUAGUUGUUCAGGGCAUCACAGGGGUAAUGUGGGGUGUCAAAACUUGAUAAAUGCUUUAGUUUGAAUGGCUGUCAGUAGGGUACUAAAGUACCAAUAAACUAAUGAAUUGUUUGGUAAUAGUGGGGAACAAGGCUUAAUGACAUGGGAAGUUGAUUAAAUAAGUUAAGUCACCCAUAACCUUGGAUUAAAAAAAA
RNAcentral lists this long non-coding RNA (16518 nucleotides) under Nicotiana tabacum (common tobacco). RNAcentral's name for it is "long non-coding RNA (NTAB_LNC012341)". Lineage: Eukaryota; Viridiplantae; Streptophyta; Magnoliopsida; Solanales; Solanaceae. The record is from RNAcentral.